CAUCUGGCAUAUUACUGGAAAUGGCCAAAAAAGAAUCGGCACGUAAACCAGAAGGUUAGCAUAAUUUAGCCGCGUUGCCGACAGAAAAUCUAUAGUCAUUUGGGGUUUUGGCGGUGCCAAGCAGGCUCGCAUUGAUUAACGAUGUGUGUGUGUGUGUGUGUGUGUGUGUGUGUGUGUGUGUGUGUGUGUGUGUGUGUGUGUGUGUGUGUGUGUGUGUGUGUGUGUGUGUGUGUGUGUGUGUGUGUGUGUGUCUGUGUCUGUGUGCAUGUGUGUGUGUGUGUGUGUGUGUGUGUGUGUGUGUGGUUUUGGUAGAUUUACGGUAGACUCAGCGAUAGGGCAAAAAGAGAGAGAGGGCGAGAGACAUAGGAAGGCAGAGCAAAGAGAGAGAGGCUGAUUGAAAUGAGACCUUGAACUUACAGACAGCAGAGCAACAAACGGAGGAAAUGAACCGCAUGACAUGACAAACACACGGGGGGAGAGCACGAUAAGAAAACCAACGAAAACAACCUGGAAAGGGUUAAGUGACCAACAGACUGGCACAGCACCGAGACAUGGCAUGGCACAGUCUAAAUAGGGGGGCGGGAUAGCUCCAGAGAGAGGGCGAGAGAGAGCGCCAGAGAGAGGGCGAGAGAGGGCGAGAGAGAGAGGGCGAGAGAGGGCAAGAGAGAGCGCCAGAGCGAGGGCGAGAGAGAGCGCCAGAGAGAGGGCGAGAGUGGGCAAGAGAGAGCGCCAGAGCGAGGGCGAGAGAGGGCAAGAGAGAGCGCCAGAGCGAGGGCGAGAGAGGGCGAGAGAGAGCGCCAGAGCGAGGGCGAGAGAGAGCGCCAGAGAGAGGGCGAGAGAGGGCAAGAGAGAGCACGAGGGCGAGGGCGAGAGAGAGCGCCAGAGAGAGGGCGAGAGAGGGCAAGAGAGAGCGCCAGAGCGAGGGCGAGAGAGGGCGAGAGAGAGAGGGCGAGAGUGGGCAAGAGAGAGCGCCAGAGAGGGGGCGAGAGAGGGCAAGAGAGAGCGCCAGAGAGGGGGCGAGAGAGGGCAAGAGAGAGCGCCAGAGAGGGGGCAAGAGAGGGCAAGAGAGAGCGCCAGAGAGGGGGCGAGAGAGGGCGAGAGAGAGCGCCAGAGCGAGGACGAGAGAGGGCGAGAGAGAGAGCGAGCGAGCCGGAGCAUCAUGAAGGGUUACAGAAGACACACAGACACACCCCAGAGGGAGCCCCGAAGCAUCAGCUACCGCCCGGUAGAGGGGAACAGCAAUCAGGCGCACCUGGCCGCUAUCAGGGCUCGUUACUGCCCUGCUGAACCAGCUGCUGCAACAGGUCUUUUUAUUUCAUGGAAUUGACUUUUCAUCUCCGCUUGAGUCCAACUCUUCCUGACUCCCGUACAUUACGUCGUGGGUUCGAUGUCUAGCCAUCAGGCAGGCUGCCCAGAUCCAAUGGAAAGAUUUAUAAAAGCUUUCAUCAGAGGGAUCGGCCUGGCCCGCAACCAGGGUUGGUUACACGCAGACUGGAGUUUACUAGUUACUAGUCUUACUUUGUUGCUUUUAUAUUGGUUUUACAUAUAUUGAGUUUCAUAUGCUCUGUGAAGCCAAGACAAAUGUAUUUUUUGUGCAAAUACAAAUGUUGUUCUUCCUUUCUUUCGAUACAUCUGUCUUUAAUAUAGCUUUAAUGAAAAUAAUGUGCAAAUAUAUCCCAGCCCAUAUAUCCCAUAAUGUGCAAAUAUAGAUAUAUAUAUAUAUAUAUAUAUAUAUAUAUAUAUAUAUAUAUCUAUAUCUAUAUAUAUAUAUAUAUAUAUAUAUAUAUAUCUAUAUCUAUAUCUAUAUCUAUAUCUAUAUAUAUAUAUAUAUAUAUAUAUAUAUACGUAUAUAUAUAUAUAUACGUAUAUAUCCCAGCCACAAAGAGUUAAUCCCUACCCAGAUAAUCAUUGUGUGACCAGACAAGGGAAAAUCAAUGUCUCUCAGCAGGCGUUGGAGGCCGUGUCCAGAACCAGAGAAAUCAGAGCCGGUCCUCGCUGAGGGUCUCAGUACACUUCAUUACAGGACAAACUCGGGCUCUGAAUGGCGCCCAGACGAUGAAGGUCGAUGAGACGCCCUCGUGUUGUGGGUGGUGCGCAUGCCCCACCUAGGCAAACCUUCUCCUCCUCCUUCCUCUCUUCCUCCCUUCCUCCCAGAGAGACCGUCUUUACACUGUCAGCCAUUCCGCGCACAUGGAGUACUUCAAUCACCAAAAUUGUUCAUGUUUAUCGAAGCGAAAUGAAGUUUUGAUAAAUAAUGACAUGUCUGUUUAUGUGGAAGACGCAAAUGUGGGAGUCUAGUUAUUCUAGGCCGAUAAAUAAAUGUUACCAUUGUACUAAAGUAGGUGUAAAGUUUGAUAUUUGCUCAGCGCAUUUCUUUAUGUGAACGCCACAUCAAUCUCCUUAUGUCGUCAAACCUUAUUUUUCCCCGUAAAACAUUUAACUUCACCACUGUCCUUGUACAAUAAAUAAUAAAAAUAUUUUAAUGCACAAACGCAUAUUUCCGAAGUUUGCCCAUUUACAUGAGAGUUCCCAAGUUCCAACAUGGCGUGACACGCCCUAACGCAGUGUACGGCCAACCUCUGUCUUCUUUCCCAGCAUGCUCUCUGGCUGAUUAUACGAGCGUCCUAUAGCCCAUUACCCUGCUCCUCCCUUCCUCCCCCACCCUACCUGGAUGGUCAUCCUUCGCUAGCUAGCUAGUCCUCCCCUCCCUGGUGCUGGCUGCCGCUAGCCGCCAGGCUACGCUAGUUGUUAACCCAACAGUAGCAAACACGCGGUGAAGCCGCGCGCUUUACGACGCUACUCUGCGUUAGCGAGCCAGUGCUAGCCCGCGGCUACGCCGUGGCGCAAAGGGGAGUGAUAUAAACGCAAAGGGCCGAUAGUAAAUGUGUGACAUAAAGUCUUUAUGCUGAAAUGGGGAGAUAUGCAUCAUUAGUUAAUAAGGCUGCGGCAUCAGUUGUGGAGAGGGGCCGGUAAAAGAAAUGCUGCGGGGUAUUACAGUCGUGUUGUAAACUUUAUUCCGCGUAUAAAGAAUAACUCGGUGUUGAGCUGUCAAACAUACUGGGAGAUUAAAUCCCAUACUGGAAAAUUGUGGCUUCCUGUCAGUCGUGUCGCCUUAGUAUAUAUAUAUAUAUAUAUAUAUAUAUAUAUAUAUAUAUACACAGUAUAAUGGGUUUGUGGUGAUUGAAAGAAAACUUCUUCACAUUUGUACAUUCUACACACACACACACACACACACACACACACACACACACACACACACACACACACACACACACACACACACACACACACACACACACACACAGGCACAGUCCACGCACCACACUAACCCAAACACCCUAUGAACAUUACAUACACAUUUUUACAUUUGAAAGCUUUCCUUUUUGAUCAAGCAUAAGCUAGUUCACAAUAGCAUGCAGAAUGAGAGAGUGCCUCCCUCCAUCACUCAAUCACACACACAACCACGCACAGUCACACACACACACACACACACACACACACACACUUCGGCCCGGCCUAAGCUGUUAGUUAGAGCUCAGACCGUCCAUUAGCUGAGUUCUUUUCCUGUUUCCGACAUAAUGAAGCAGAACGCUAGAAGAAGGGAGAGAGAGAGUGCGAGCCUGCUGACCUGAUUAAUUAGCGAGAGGCGGGAGAGAGAGGAUGCAAGAGUGUGAGAGAGAGAGAAAAGAGUGAGCGAGAGGCAGCGAGAGAGAGAAAGAGAGGGGGUAGGUAUGAUAAAGACAGUGAUAAAGAUUGAUAAAGUGGAGAACGAAGAAAAAUCAGUAUGAGAGAGGAGAGAUGGAGGACAAAAUGACCUGAGAGAUGAAAGAAAGAGGGAUGAGCUGCUGGGUGUAAUAAAUGUGAUGUCAGCUUAUAAACGACUCGGCGCGAGGGCGUGGGCAAGAGGACGGGCUUGUAGCGCACGGCGUCAACACAUCCCGAUAAAACAGUGGAUGAUUCCAACCUCAAAAAACAACGAUCGUUCUAACCUUUCGAUUUUCCCUCUUCCUCCACCGUCUCCUUCUCUUAACCAACACCUCUUUGUCUCUUCGCUACGUCAGUAUUUUACUCUUUGAAAGACUUUUAAAGGCCUUUUAAAAAGCUGGUGGUAUAUAGCAGCCAUGGAAACCUUGGCUGGGCUCUCUCCAUCGCAGCAGGAGAUGAUUAAAGUUACGGUCCAGUUAACAGCUAGCUGGGACCCUCCAGCUCUCUGGCCCUCAGGUACACACAAACACACACACAUCCACGCCGCCUCCCACACACGCAUGCAAGCACACACAGCCACACACACCCUCUCCCUCUCUCUCUGACACACCCUCAAUCCCAAACACACACACACACACACGCACAAACACACACACACCCUCUCUAUCGCUCUCUCACACACAUAUACACACACACACACACACACACCCUCUCUAUCGCUCUCUCACACACGUAUACACACACACACACACACAAACACACACACACACACCCAAACACCCUAAUAAGGCCGCUCACCUGUGCAGGAGCAUGCAGAACGCAUUGGAGGAGCUGGGUUCUAGCUAAAGCCUGAGCACGCUCUGAGAGGCAGCAGCACGGCAGGACAGCCAGCUCGGCCGGCGGGCAGGCAGACAGAAAGACAGCCAGCAUGGGCAUUCAUUAAAAACCCCAGCACCGUGCAUAGGGACUAACAGGGCCAUAAAAGCAAUUAAUCUAGCCAUAAACAAGCCACUCGCCUGUCCCACACUCCCCUGCACAGAAACGACGGUGGCAGUGGGGAGGGAGGGGGGGAGGGGAGGAGGGGGGAGACAGGGGGAGGCUUGCUUUUCGUUUCCUCUUCUCUGGGCUUUGUAUUUCUUCUGAUUUCUCGCUGUUUCCUCCCUCUGUCUCGGGGCCUCUCAGGUACACCCCACAGAUGUUACCUUCCCAUGAAGAGUGAACAAGAGUCCUCUAAUGAUCAAGCACACAUGGAUGCAGAUGUGUGUGUGCGUGUGUGUGUAUGUGUGUGUGUGUAUGUGUGUGCGCGUUUGCGUGUGCGAGAGCUGCAGCCUCCGACCCAACAUGGCGGACGGUGAGG
Molecule: long non-coding RNA, 5062 nt
Organism: Gadus morhua (Atlantic cod)
Lineage: Eukaryota; Metazoa; Chordata; Actinopteri; Gadiformes; Gadidae
Source: Ensembl